Molecule: long non-coding RNA, 887 nt
Organism: Lycium ferocissimum
Lineage: Eukaryota; Viridiplantae; Streptophyta; Magnoliopsida; Solanales; Solanaceae
Exons: 3
Source: RefSeq, a predicted model, not a curated record
UUCGACAAGAAAGUGUUAAACUGAGUCGUCCCACCUGUUGACAAGAAACUUCUGGGUUUUCCUCAACAUCUUCAAACUCUUGCCCUCUUGGUUAACCAAUUGUUCAUCAAACUAUGGGAACUGCCGCAUAAACUCCCCAGCAUAUGCCUAAAAAACCCACCAAAAUUUUACCCUUAAUUGUCCAGGCACAAUGCAAAUAUGAUAGUUAACUAUUUAGGAAGCAGUUGAUAAUUAAUUAUUUAGGAAGCGGCCUAGUCCUUCUUCACAUCGAAAAUGUGAAUAAACUAAUCCAGUUCAAAUUCUUGAUUUGCAAGUAAUUUAAGGUAAAAAUUGAGUUAAGAUCGCAUGAUUCCAGGAUCUGACUUUGCGUAUCGAAAAAUUUAAUCCUGUUCAGUCUUUAACUCACCAUGGUUAACCAUGGCUCAACACCAGUCAGAGACAUGAUGGAGAAUCAAUUGACAAAACUCAUUGUUGAAAACAAGACUUACUAUAUUUAAGCUAAAUUCCUGGGUUUUCAAGAAAGAGCUUCAAAGUUUCUGAAGAAACUGGUCACGCCACUCGUUGCUGCAGAUUCUCAAAAACAGAGUUCCCACGAAUAUUAGAAAUGUGACAAUUUGUGACGAGCAACUGGCUUCAUUGUUCACGGAGUCAUAGUGUUCACUAUUCUCAUAUCUGCUUGUCCUUGUCAUAAUGCCAUGUUCCGUUGGUUCAUCAUUGUUUUCCCUCAUUUGUAACAAGGCCUCAAGCUCAAGUUCAUCUUUAUACAACAAACGAAGUCCAAAAUCCUUCAUUUCUCCAAAAAAUAACAUAAUGCGCCCAUAGUCAUUUGGUGUUUUUCCAUUUGCCUUAGACAUACCCCAUUUGCCAGCAAAAGAUACCAAGAAAAA